UACUAACGCUGGCGGCGUGCUUAACACAUGCAAGUCGAACGGAAAGGCCCUGCUUUUGUGGGGUGCUCGAGUGGCGAACGGGUGAGUAACACGUGAGUAACCUGCCCUUGACUUUGGGAUAACUUCAGGAAACUGGGGCUAAUACCGGAUAGGAGCUCCUGCUGCAUGGUGGGGGUUGGAAAGUUUCGGCGGUUGGGGAUGGACUCGCGGCUUAUCAGCUUGUUGGUGGGGUAGUGGCUUACCAAGGCUUUGACGGGUAGCCGGCCUGAGAGGGUGACCGGCCACAUUGGGACUGAGAUACGGCCCAGACUCCUACGGGAGGCAGCAGUGGGGAAUAUUGCACAAUGGGCGGAAGCCUGAUGCAGCAACGCCGCGUGCGGGAUGACGGCCUUCGGGUUGUAAACCGCUUUCGCCUGUGACGAAGCGUGAGUGACGGUAAUGGGUAAAGAAGCACCGGCUAACUACGUG
Molecule: ribosomal RNA, 468 nt
Filed under: uncultured bacterium
Lineage: Bacteria
Description: partial 16S ribosomal RNA
Rfam family: Bacterial small subunit ribosomal RNA
Source: RNAcentral